Molecule: ribosomal RNA, 427 nt
Filed under: uncultured bacterium
Lineage: Bacteria
Description: partial 16S ribosomal RNA
Rfam family: Bacterial small subunit ribosomal RNA
Source: RNAcentral
UGGGGAAUAUUGCACAAUGGGCGCAAGCCUGAUGCAGCCAUGCCGCGUGUAUGAAGAAGGCCUUCGGGUUGUAAAGUACUUUCAGCGGGGAGGAAGGCGAUAAGGUUAAUAACCUUGUCGAUUGACGUUACCCGCAGAAGAAGCACCGGCUAACUCCGUGCCAGCAGCCGCGGUAAUACGGAGGGUGCAAGCGUUAAUCGGAAUUACUGGGCGUAAAGCGCACGCAGGCGGUCUGUCAAGUCGGAUGUGAAAUCCCCGGGCUCAACCGGGGAACUGCAUUCGAAACUGGCAGGCUAGAGUCUUGUAGAGGGGGGUAGAAUUCCAGGUGUAGCGGUGAAAUGCGUAGAGAUCUGGAGGAAUACCGGUGGCGAAGGCGGCCCCCUGGACAAAGACUGGCGCUCAGGUGCGAAAGCGUGGGGAGCAAACA